UUGCUUAGUUUGAUGGCGACCGGCGCACGGGUGAGUAACACGUAUCCCCCUUUAGGUUUACUCAGGGAUAGACUUUCGAAAGAAAGAUUCCUUCCUGAUAGUAUGGUGAGAUUGCAUGAUAGCACCAUUAAAGAUUUAUUGGUAAACGAUGGGGAUGCGUUCCAUUAGGUAGUAGGCGGGGUAACGGCCCACCUAGCCGACGAUGGAUAGGGGUUCUGAGAGGAAGGUCCCCCACAUUGGAACUGAGACACGGUCCAAACUCCUACGGGAGGCAGCAGUGAGGAAUAUUGGUCAAUGGGCGAGAGCCUGAACCAGCCAAGUAGCGUGAAGGAUGAAGGUCCUACGGAUUGUAAACUUCUUUUAUACGGGAAUAAAGUUUCCUACGUGUAGGAUUUUGUAUGUACCGUAUGAAUAAGCAUCGGCUAACUCCGUGCCAGCAGCCGCGGUAAUACGGAGGAUGCGAGCGUUAUCCGGAUUUAUUGGGUUUAAAGGGAGCGCAGACGGGAGAUUAAGUCAGUUGUGAAAGUUUGCGGCUCAACCGUAAAAUUGCAGUUGAUACUGGUUUCCUUGAGUGCAGUUGAGGCAGGCGGAAUUCGUGGUGUAGCGGUGAAAUGCUUAGAUAUCACGAAGAACUCCGAUUG
RNAcentral lists this ribosomal RNA (641 nucleotides) under uncultured Bacteroides sp. RNAcentral describes it as "bacterial SSU rRNA". It matches the Rfam family "Bacterial small subunit ribosomal RNA", at positions 77 to 715 of the family's 1533-position model. The record is from RNAcentral. Lineage: Bacteria; Pseudomonadati; Bacteroidota; Bacteroidia; Bacteroidales; Bacteroidaceae.